AGUUUGAUCCUGGCUCGAAUGAACGCUGGCGGCAGGCCUAACACAUGCAAGUCGAACGGAGUUAUAUUGUAGCUUGCUAUGGUAUAACUUAGUGGCAGACGGGUGAGUAAUGUAUAGGAAUCUACCUAGUAGUACGGAAUAAUUGUUGGAAACGGCAACUAAUACCGUAUACGCCCUACGGGGGAAAAAUUUAUUGCUAUUAGAUGAGCCUAUAUUAGAUUAGCUAGUUGGUGGAGUAAUAGCCUACCAAGGCAAUGAUCUAUAGCUGAUCUGAGAGGAUGAUCAGCCACACUGGAACUGAGAUACGGUCCAGACUCCUACGGGAGGCAGCAGUGGGGAAUAUUGGACAAUGGGCGAAAGCCUGAUCCAGCCAUGCCGCAUGAGUGAAGAAGGCCUUUGGGUUGUAAAGCUCUUUUAGUGAGGAAGAUAAUGACGGUACUCACAGAAGAAGUCCUGGCUAACUCCGUGCCAGCAGCCGCGGUAAUACGGAGAGGGCUAGCGUUAUUCGGAAUUAUUGGGCGUAAAGGGCGCGUAGGCGGAUUAGUAAGUUAAAAGUGAAAUCCCAAGGCUCAACCUUGGAAUUGCUUUUAAAACUGCUAAUCUAGAGAUUGAAAGAGGAUAGAGGAAUUCCUAGUGUAGAGGUGAAAUUCGUAAAUAUUAGGAGGAACACCAGUGGCGAAGGCGUCUAUCUGGUUCAAAUCUGACGCUGAGGCGCGAAGGCGUGGGGAGCAAACAGGAUUAGAUACCCUGGUAGUCCACGCUGUAAACGAUGAAUGUUAAAUAUGGGAAGUUUUACUUUCUGUAUUACAGCUAACGCGUUAAACAUUCCGCCUGGGGACUACGGUCGCAAGAUUAAAACUCAAAGGAAUUGACGGGGACCCG
RNAcentral lists this ribosomal RNA (882 nucleotides) under uncultured bacterium. RNAcentral describes it as "bacterial SSU rRNA". It matches the Rfam family "Bacterial small subunit ribosomal RNA", at positions 10 to 923 of the family's 1533-position model. The record is from RNAcentral.